This 294-nucleotide small nuclear RNA is filed under the name Sorex araneus (European shrew). RNAcentral describes it as "7SK RNA (ENSSARG00000018320.1)". It matches the Rfam family "7SK RNA". From Rfam's summary of the family: 7SK was discovered as an abundant small nuclear RNA in the mid-70s but a possible function has only recently been suggested. Two independent studies have found that 7SK RNA binds the CDK9/cyclin T complex (known as elongation factor P-TEFb). P-TEFb activates transcription by phosphorylating the C-terminal domain of RNA polymerase II. Lineage: Eukaryota; Metazoa; Chordata; Mammalia; Eulipotyphla; Soricidae. The record is from RNAcentral.
GGAUGUGAGGGAGAUCUGGCUGUGACAUCUGUUACCCCAUUGAUCUUCAGGGUUGAUUUGGCUGAUCUGGAUGGCUGUUCCCUUCCUCCCUCACUGCCCCAUGUGCAUGCAUGAGUGCUAGGUUGGACCAGAUAGAUAUGACUCUAUCCUGGAUAAAGAUGAACUGUUUUUUUGGUUAAGGGUAUAAGAGUAGUCACACUCCCCUACUAGAACCUCCAAACAACCUCCCGACUUAGGCAGCUUCCAGGCUUCUGCUAAUUUAAGGGAAGACUUUUUAAAAAACUGUUAUGGUCU